AACUGUACAGAAGGAGAACGAAAAAAAAAAACCUGCAUCUCUUAUCAAAAAAAAAACCCUCUAUUCAUACAUGCGACAUUUUCUUAGCUUCUGUUUCUUUUUUUUUUUUUGCUGUUUUCACUCACAAAA
RNAcentral lists this non-coding RNA (129 nucleotides) under uncultured Tubulinea. Lineage: Eukaryota; Tubulinea. The record is from RNAcentral.